RNAcentral lists this ribosomal RNA (195 nucleotides) under uncultured bacterium. Its description in RNAcentral is "partial 16S rRNA". It matches the Rfam family "Bacterial small subunit ribosomal RNA", at positions 338 to 524 of the family's 1533-position model. The record is from RNAcentral.
CCUACGGGAGGCAGCAGUGGGGAAUUCUUCGCAAAGGGNGAAANCCUGACGGAGNGACGCCGCGUGGGGGCCGAAGGCCUUCGGGUUGUAAACCCCUKUYRGAGGGAAAGAAGGGUGUCGGCACGAUAACUGCCUACAUCUGACGGUUCCUUCGGAGGAAGCCCCGGNUAANUCUGUGCCAGCAGCCGCGGUAAU